This 2227-nucleotide unclassified non-coding RNA is filed under the name Hevea brasiliensis (rubber tree). The record is from RNAcentral. Lineage: Eukaryota; Viridiplantae; Streptophyta; Magnoliopsida; Malpighiales; Euphorbiaceae.
CCUGAUUCCAGUGUGUAGACAUAUAAUGGUGUAAGAAAAUUUAAUUUAAGAUUUAAAACUCUCUCUUUUUUCUUUUUCUUCAGUACAAAGAACAAAAUGGAGAAGCAAAUUCUACUGGGAGAGGCUGGAGAAGAGAAAACUCAGAGGAUAUCAUGGAGAGGGUUGAUUGAGGAAGUGAAGAGGAUGGCAUAUAUAGCAGGACCUAUGGUGGUUGUAAAUUUAUCACACUAUUUCUUGCAAAUUAUUUCCAUAAUGAUGGUGGGUCAUCUUGGUCAACUCUUUCUUUCUAGCACCGCCAUAGCUAUGUCCUUCUCUGUUGUCACUGGCUUCAGUCUCACCUUUGGGAUGUCAAGUGCACUGGAAACUCUAUGUGGGCAAGCUUAUGGAGCCAAGCAGUAUCGACAAUUUGGAAUUCAAAUCUAUACUGCUAUAUUUUCUCUCAAUGUUGUUUGUAUCCCUCUCUCUAUCUUAUGGAUCUGCAUGGGAAAAAUCCUUGUUUUCAUAGGCCAAGACCCUUUAAUCUCACAAGAAGCUGGUAAAUUUACUACCUGUCUGAUUCCUGCACUCUUUGGCUACGCAACCCUUCAAGCAGUCGUUCGAUAUUUUCAGAUGCAGAGUUUGAUAUUUCCCUUGAUUAUAAGCUCCUUAUUUACUCUUUGUUUCCACAUUCUUGUCUGCUGGAUUCUUGUGUUCAGUUCAGGACUUGGUAACCUUGGUGCAGCAUUUUCAAUUGGCAUUUCAUAUUGGUUAAAUGUGAUUUUACUUGCAUUCUACAUGAGAUUCUCUUCCAGUUGUGCAAAAACUCGUGCCUCAGUGUCCAUGGAGUUAUUCCAAGGAAUUGGAGAGUUUUUUCGCUUAGCUGUCCCUUCUGCUACAAUGAUUUGCCUGGGAUGGUGGUCAUUUGAGUUUCUUACAAUGCUUUCUGGGAUUUUACCAAAUCCAAGGCUUGAAAUGUCUGUUCUUUCUGUUUGUCUAUCAACAAUCUCAACACUUUAUACAAUACCAGAUGGAAUAGGUGCUGCAGCAAGGUUUAUUUAUUUUAAAACUCUCCUACACAUAAAAACAGUUGAAUAUUGCUGCUCUGCAACCAAUUGAUGAUUGUGCUUCUGGUACACAGCACUAGAGUUUCAAAUGAAUUGGGAGCUGGAAAUGCACGAGCAGCUUAUGUAGCUGUCUGGUGCGCGAUGUUUGUCACAACCACACAAUCAAUAAUAGUGAGCUCAAUCCUGUUCGCCACCAGGCAUGUCUUCGGUUAUGUUUUCAGCAAUGAGAAACAAGUUGUGGAUUAUGUCACAGCCAUGGCUCCUCUUGUAUGCAUAUCUGUAAUCUUGGGCAGCUUAGAUGAGACCCUUUCAGGUCAAUUAUAAUAUAUAUCUCCUGCGAGAAAUAAUAUAGUUAAUUGAAUUCAUUAGUACCUGAACAUUAUCUGUUAAUACUUCUGGAAAAAAUAUGCAGGCAUUGCUAUGGGAUGUGGGUGGCAGAAAUAUGGGGCUUAUGUCAAUCUAGUAGCAUUCUAUAUUUGUGGAAUUCCAGUGGCAGCCAUGUUGGGAUUUUGGUUAAAGAUGGGAGGAAAAGGCCUUUGGAUUGGUAUACUAGUUGGUUCCUUUCUGCAAAAUGUUUUGCUUGGUAUCAUAACAACCUGUACGAAUUGGGAAGAACAGGUCUGGUCUUGCCUCCACUAGUAACCAAUAUAUAUAUUUUUUUUUCGGUUAUGUUCUGGUCUUUUCAGGAUUUUUUGUGCGAAUUCUGGUUGCGUUGCAGGCAAUCAAGGCAAGGGAGAGGGUAUUUGAGCGAAGAUUGAUAGCUGAAGAUGGAUCUGAGUGAAGCAAGAAUUUUAGCAAGCGAAGAUUGAGUUCAGUUCCACAGAUAGAAUACUCAUCACAUGAGGAAUAGUAGUUGUAAGUGCAUGCAACAGCUGCUUUAUUUUCAACACCAAAAUGAUGCUUAAAAACAAAAGCUCUUGACAAUUUUUUCUUUUAUCCAUUUUGAGCUACAUUAGUAACUUUUGUUAUUCUCGGAUAAGAACUUUGUAAUAUAUAUAAAACUCAGCAAACCUCCUCUCUUUGAAUUAGUUUUUAAGAUGGAGUCAAACCCAAUUCAUAUUUUAUCUGCAUCUUUUUCAUCCUUUUAGCGGGAUGGGAUGUCAUAAUUUUGGCAUUUGAUUUACUAUAUAAGAACAAUCAUUUUUUGUGAAGUGAUUUUAUGCAACUGUGACACUACACAUUUU